RNAcentral lists this ribosomal RNA (463 nucleotides) under uncultured bacterium. RNAcentral describes it as "bacterial SSU rRNA". It matches the Rfam family "Bacterial small subunit ribosomal RNA", at positions 1 to 507 of the family's 1533-position model. The record is from RNAcentral.
UAGUACGUCACGUAGUUUGCUCCGUGCUCAGAACACGCUGGCGGCAUGCCUAACACAUGCAAGUCGAACGAGACCUUCGGGUCUAGUGGCGCACGGGUGCGUAACGCGUGGGAACCUGCCUUUAGGUUCGGAAUAACUCAGAGAAAUUUGAGCUAAUACCGGAUGAUGUCUUCGGACCAAAGAUUUAUCGCCUUUAGAUGGGCCCGCGUAAGAUUAGCUAGUUGGUGGGGUAAAGGCCUACCAAGGCGACGAUCUUUAGCUGGUCUGAGAGGAUGAUUCAGCCACACUGGGACUGAGACACGGCCCAGACUCCUACGGGAGGCAGCAGUGGGGAAUAUUGGACAAUGGGCGAAAGCCUGAUCCAGCAAUGCCGCGUGAGUGAUGAAGGCCUUAGGGUUGUAAAGCUCUUUUACCCGAGAUGAUAAUGACAGUAUCGGGAGAAUAAGCUCCGGCUAACUCCGUG